Molecule: ribosomal RNA, 490 nt
Filed under: uncultured bacterium
Lineage: Bacteria
Description: partial 16S ribosomal RNA
Rfam family: Bacterial small subunit ribosomal RNA
Source: RNAcentral
AUUGAACGCUGGCGGCAUGCCUUACACAUGCCAGUCGAACGGCAGCAUGAUCUAGCUUGCUAGAUUGAUGGCGAGUGGCGAACGGGUGAGUAAUACAUCGGAACGUGCCCUGUAGUGGGGGAUAACUAGUCGAAAGAUUAGCUAAUACCGCAUACGACCUGAGGGUGAAAGUGGGGGACCGCAAGGCCUCAUGCUAUAGGAGCGGCCGAUGUGUGAUUAGUUGGUUGGUGGGGUAAAGGCUCACCAAGGCGACGAUCAGUAGCUGAUCUGAGAGGACGAUCGGCCACACGAGGACUGAAACACGGCCCAGACUCCUAAGGGAGGCAGCAGUGGGGAAUGUUGGACAGUGGGCGAAAGCCUGAUCCAGCAAUGCCGCGUGUGUGAAGAAGGCGUUCGGGUUGUAAAGAACUUUUGUCCGGAAAGAAAUGGCUCUGGUUAAUACCUGGGGUCGAUGACGGUACCGGAUGAAUAAGCACCGGCUAACUACGUG